Long non-coding RNA from Bos indicus x Bos taurus (hybrid cattle), 2071 nucleotides. NCBI's taxonomy places the organism in Eukaryota, Metazoa, Chordata, Mammalia, Artiodactyla, Bovidae. The record is from Ensembl.
AUGUUUUCCUAUGAUUUAGAUUUUCCAAAAAGAACAAAAUUAUACAGAAUAAAAAUUCAGGUGUCAGAAAGACUCAAAAGGCUGUUUUUCAUUUUGUUCAAGUCUUGUUUCCAGGCAUUGUGUCAUAGAGUUGUUGGCAUUGUUGUUUUCCAAAUGUCCGAUGUGUGCUAUGACAUCAGUAACAAAUGCUUCAACAUCAUCAGCUCCAAUUUGAAGAUCUUGUUGCAUUGUGUCAAAAGAAAUUUCUUUAUUUUCCACUGCCAUUCCCAUAAAAUAAGCAGUCUCAUUUUUGCCAUAUUCUGUUCAUGUAGUAGGCCAACUGAAUCAAUGAAGUCUGUAUCAUUCUGAUGAAAUGACAUAUGAUGCUAAUUUAGCACUCACAAAAAAUGGUUAAAAGAUCAUGCAUGAGCUCACCUUUCAAAAAUUUGACUGGUUUUAAAGUAAGAAGAUGAUCAGAAAGGAAUGCAUUUGGAUCUUAAAUGCUUGCACAAUAUACCUGUGGGCAUCAACUCGAGCCUGGGAAGCACUGUCCUCCAUGUAACUGCCUAACAAUUCCACCAUAACUUUUGAUGCGGCAUCACUUUUCUUACAAGCCACAAGUGCCUCGUGAUGUAGUCUUAAAAGAGUGUGUUUUGUGUUUUUCUUUUAAGUGGUGAGGUUCCAGUCAGAAAUCCAUUUUCUAACUUGAUCCAGCUCAGUUGGAAUAUACUGGAUGGCCCCGCAAGAGGCUGCAACUAUAGUGAGGCUGUAUAUCUUACAGGAGUAUUCUUAUCCAUCCCAUGGAAAAGAUUGCUUAGCAACUGUAGUCUCAGAGAUGGACGUUCACCUUCCUGAAAUCUGACCAGUUUCUCACACAGGCUUUGAAUCAGAGCUUCCUGCUUAUCUGGUUCCAGGAUCAACAGGGGGAUACUGCGCUGUUCAUCACAAUUUCAAGGACUUUAUCAUCUUCCUUCAGACAUACAUCACUGGCUUCAAUAAUUUGAGCUAAAUCUACAUGAAGUCCACCUUCAGAGUUCUCUUAUGAAAUUUCAGCUCCUUUAGAUUUCAAAUAAGUGCGAAGCUCAGCAACCUGAUCUUCCUCACUGACGUCGCAACGCAGGAAUGCUCAUGGCGAAGGCCCGCGCACUGUGGACAUUCCGCUGGCUAACCACGAUGACAGCUAAACUUUUUUUCUUCUAUUUUCUCUGGGCAGAUUUAUCUUCUUUUUCUCCUCUAGUUCUUUUUCUUUCCUAUCUAGUUUUCAUUUAUUUUUAUUAAAAGUAUCCAGAGGACUUCCCUGGUGGUCCAGUGGUUGACUUUGUUUUCCAGUGCAGGGGAUGUGGGGUCAAUCCCUGGCCAGGAGCUAAAAAUCUCAGAUACCCAGAGGCCAAAAAACCAAAAUGUAAAACAGAAGCAAUAUUGUAACAAAUUCAAUAAGGACUUUCAAAAUAACCCACAUUGAAAAAAUCCUUUCAGUUCAGUUCAGUUCAGUCACUCAGUCGUGUCCGACUCUUUUCGACCCCAUGAAUCGCAGCAUGCCAGGCCUCCCUGUCCAUCACCAAUUCCCGGAGUUCACUCAGACUCACAUCCAUUGAGUCAGUGAUGCCAUCCAGCCAUCUCAUCCUCUGUUGUCCCCUUCUCCUCCUGCCCCCAAUCCCUCCCAACAUCAGAGUCUUUUCCAAUGAGUCAGCUCUUCACAUGAGGUGGCCAAAGUACUGGAGUUUCAGCUUUAGCAUCAUUCCUUCCAAAGAAAUCCCAGGGCUGAUCUCCUUCAGAAUGGACUGGCUGGAUCUCCUUGCAGUCCAAGGGACUCUCUAGAGUCUUCUCCAACACCAGAGUUCAAAAGCAUCAAUUCUUCGGUGCUCAGCCUUCUUCACAGUCCAACUCUGACAUCCAUACAUGACCACAGGAAAAACCAUAGCCUUGACUAGACGGAUCUUUGUUGGCAAAGUAAUGUCUCUGCUUUUGAAUAUGCUAUCUAGGUUGGUCAUAACUUUCCUUCCAAGGAGUAAGCGUCUUUUCAUUUCCUGGCUGCAGUCACCAUCUGCAGUGACUUUGGAGCCCAGAAAAAUAAAGUCUGACACUGUUUCCA